UGUGAUUUAUUACCCUGUUUUCUCCCAGCCUAUUAUAUUUCCCUGAGCCUUCCCCCAAGGCCUGCUUGGGACUAGAUUAGCCCACAUGAUUAUUUCAAAGCACAGCACGUUGAAAGCAGUUCCCAGGAACUCUGUGUUUCUCAAAAGGGAGCUGAAAGGUCACAGAGAGCUGGGAAGGGGUCACAGCAACUGAAGCUGCUGCAUUUGACUGGUUUCAACAGUGACCUCCAGGUCUCCAUAAACGGCCCUGCUACCUUCUGGCUCCGGUUUACUACAUUCGCUUUCUCCUUCUGCCCAGGAUUCAUGCACCAGCCAGACGCAAUGACUUGCAACUCUCCAAAGGGGCCUUUGCACCAGCCCUACCAGCCUGGAUUAUUCCCACUAUCCUGACUCCAUAAUUCUCCUCUGUGGGAAGCCUGCUCUAAUCCCUGGCCAAAUCAGGAGUGAUUCUGUACAUGUCUACCUCACUUCAUAUGUGGCAAGGACAGCCUAGUGAUAACUGCAUCCUGAAGCUAUCUAGGGGACCACUUUGAAUUAAUUCACUAGCAGAACAAAGACAGUCCUAUCACUGAGGAAAUCCCAAGGGUUUGAAGUUCUGUGGCAGGACCUGGGAACAAAGACCAGAUAUGUGACUCUCUCUACCUGAGGGCAGCCUACAUCCAGUAAUCGACACAGAUGCUCCCAAGUGCCAGCUUCCUUCUAGACACUUCCCUCUCAUCAAAGCUGAACAGUGCUGUGCCUAUCCUGCCCAUCGCCUCAGGAAUUGUAGGUGGACAACAAAAUUCAAGUCAAAUCAGAGUAUCUGAAAGAUAAAAAUAGAGCUCAAUGUGGGAUGUGAGCAUCUGAGCAAGGCAUUGCUCUUGCCAUCCCAAAGGCAUGUGUCUUUGAUGGUACAAUUUCAGGUAUAGGACAGCUGAGCCUAGCACAAUGGUUCUCAGAGUAAGGUCCCCAGAUCAACAAUGUCAAAAUCACUCAGAAACCUCCAGGAAAUGCAAAUUAUCAAGUCCCCCCAAAGCCUUCAGAUCUACUGAAUCAGAGAUUGGUGGUGGGCCCAGCAUUGUAUGCCUUGACAAGCUCUCCACGGAUUCUCAUGCACACUUGACAUUGAGAACCACUGGCCUAGCAGAUAGAUUUUACUAGGGACUCUUUGUCUAGAAAAUUCCUGCCAUGAAUUGUUUCAUUGUUAGACCAGGGCUUCUCAGCCUUGGCACUGUGGACAUUUUGCCACUGGACGAUUUGCUGUGCAUUCUGUCCUGUGCAUUGUGGCAUGUUUAGCAGCAUACCUGACCUGCACCCACUAGAUGCCAGUAGUGUCCCUCCCCUAUCACCCCCUCCACCAGGAGUGACCAACAAAAUUACCUGCAGACUGCCCAAAUCUCCCCUGGUUGAAACACACUCCUUUGGACAACAUGGAAGACCAGAACAGCUAUAUGUGAUGAAGCUGAGCCUUCCAACGUCAAAAACUAGAUGGCAGUUUCCCAUCUUCAGCAGCUUUAUGCUACAGUAUCUGCUGCAUUUGGGCUCCCUGGGAAUAGACUUUGAGGUUGGCAUACAGGAGGUUUAUGGGGGAGUAUGCCCAAGAACAACUCCGGGGAGGAGUGAGGGAGAAGCUGAGCUGUGAAGCACUUGAAACAGAGGCCCCACCAGAAACUAUGGAGUCCCACGACCUUGUGGCAUUGUCCCAAUUGGGGUAAAGGAACAGGUCUCUCCCAUUGAACAGCCAUUGUAGGUUACCCUUUCAAGCAUAACUGUAGAUGAGGCAGCUUCCUGCAGGGAGGAAACAAUCCCCAGAGGACAGAGUCAUGAGCUGCCAGCAGCCAGCCCUCCAGGCAGCCGGGAACAAGCACAGGUCCUGGGUGCCCAACCACUGCUUCUGCUACUACAUCUGAUUGUCACAGGACUGGGACUUCGGUAUCAGCAGAAAAUCUGUGAUUCCGGUACAGGAUGCUAAGUGCCAUGACAGAGGGUUAAUCCCAAAAGAUAGUUAUCUAUACACCUGAAUUAGAAACAUUGACUGAGUCAAAAUACCUGUUAUCCUUUCUAAAACCUAUUGUGCACAGACCCAGUGCUCCCUGCUGUAUGUUCUCUAUUCCACCAGAGCGCCCUUUGUUCGCAUAAAUACGUCAUCUGUGUAAGUUGUCCUCCCUGGAUCUCCAAACAGGAGCCAGUGUGAAUCAGGCGCAACGACUGAUUUCCUGGCUCUGUUACGACUCUCCUCAUGAGGAGCUAAUUACAGAUGAUGAGAAGUUUCAGGAUGUGUGGUCUUGCCUUCUUUGAUUUCUGUUACAAAUGACAAAACAGCAGUAAUUAGUACUUGUCUCUGGCCAGCUCUGCUGUCCCAGCCACGGGGAAUGAGGCCUUCAGCCUGCAACCUCAGCACUGCCUGCCUCGGGCCAAUCAGAACAGACUCCUCAGUGUUCUAGACAUCCCAUCCUCUUCUGGAAGAAGCCUCCUCAUCAAGUCAUCACUUGGCAUUUAUUGAGCUGCUAUGAGGACUCACCUAAAAGUCUGUUCAGCAUGUGACCCCCAUGCCCUGCCAAGUGAUGUGAGCCCAGUCUAUCACCAAGCAGACCUGUCUACAACACUAGUGAGCCCAGUGUAUGCUGAAUGUCCUGUGAAAACUUAGAUUCUUUAAUACCACUUAUUUCCUGGACUUAUAAUCCUGACAAGGGUGUCAUCAGUAGAAAUACUAGAAAGAAAAUUUUGUAUUGCUUUCAAAUGUGAAAUCUGACUCUCACUAAUCACCUAGGUUACAAAAUAUAAAUUAAA
This is a long non-coding RNA of Herpailurus yagouaroundi (jaguarundi), 2769 nucleotides long. RefSeq lists it as uncharacterized. Lineage: Eukaryota; Metazoa; Chordata; Mammalia; Carnivora; Felidae. The record is from RefSeq and is a predicted model, not a curated record. The transcript has 4 exons.